RNAcentral lists this ribosomal RNA (448 nucleotides) under uncultured bacterium. RNAcentral describes it as "bacterial SSU rRNA". It matches the Rfam family "Bacterial small subunit ribosomal RNA", at positions 329 to 792 of the family's 1533-position model. The record is from RNAcentral.
CACCAGACUCCUACGGGAGGCAGCAGUGGGGAAUAUUGGGCAAUGGGCGCAAGCCUGACCCAGCAACGCCGCGUGAAGGAAGAAGGCUUUCGGGUUGUAAACUUCUUUUAAGGGGGAAGAGCAGAAGACGGUACCCCUUGAAUAAGCCACGGCUAACUACGUGCCAGCAGCCGCGGUAAUACGUAGGUGGCAAGCGUUGUCCGGAUUUACUGGGUGUAAAGGGCGUGCAGCCGGGACUGCAAGUCAGAUGUGAAAUCCGCGGGCUUAACCCGCGAACUGCAUUUGAAACUGCGGAUCUUGAGUACCGGAGAGGUUAUCGGAAUUCCUUGUGUAGCGGUGAAAUGCGUAGAUAUAAGGAGGAACACCAGUGGCGAAGGCGACUUUCUGGACUGUACCUGACGCUGAGGCGCGAAAGCGUGGGUAGCGAACGGGAUUAGAUACCCCAGUA